AUAAUAAUAAUAAUAAUUAAUAUAGAAUUAAAUAAUAAUUAAAUAACUUUUAAAUACAAAUAAAUUAAAAUAAGCAUCAUGGUGACAUCCACUAUCUGCAGUUUUAGGCUUAAAGCAGGGAUACUUUUCAUGCUGUCAUCUAUUCCUGCUUUUAAAUAAUUGCUUUUAAAAAAAUCUGGGAUAAUUCAGAAGGAAGGUGUGUUCGGUGUCCUGCUAUUGCUUUUCUAACAGCUGCGAACGCCUCCGUGCAUCCCUUCAAAGAUGAGCUGUUUGUAUGGGGAAACUGAACAAGCUGCCCUUUGUUUUCUGCCGAGCUCUACAUGAGGCAAACAACAAACACCAACCACAUCCACACAGCAAAGCUACAAACACAUCCACAUGUCAGUGCAUCCAUCGCCAAAAUCCUCGUACCAGGUGGACAAAGGCUGUAGGCUGCCAGGGUGGGGCAGAGCUGGUGAGUUUUUCACUGCCAGAGUCCCCAAAUCAAUCCCUCGGUGCCUGCCAGGGGUUCCUUUGUGGCUGGGGACAGAGGGGAUUUGGAGUGUUACCAGAAUUAUAAAUUCCUCAUUUAUUUAAGGAGUUGGCUGGACUCCUGCCUGGUGGCUCUUGUCAUAAACUCACUGGCCUCGUGAUGGAGGGAGACGGCCACAGUCCUGCAAGCUGCCAUAAGGCUCUUGCAGCUGUGCCUGAGUUUGAAAAAUAAUGCUAAUAUUUCUGUAAAAUAAAAAAAAAAACAAUUAAACAAUUUAAAAAUAAUGAUAAUAUGUUAACGAAGGUAGCAGAAUUCUGCUAAUGUUUACAUCCUCUACGUAUAUAUAUAUAUAUAUAUUUACACUCUGAGGUCUGGUACAUCCAUUUUUGCCAAAACACUUUUUUUUUUUUCCCUAGCAGAUUUUAAUGUCACAUUGUUAUAAAUUCAGUUUUGCAGCAAGCUAAAGUGAAGGGACAGUUAAACAGUUCCACAUUUAACUCAUUUAUUUGACAAAACUACUUUAACUGGAAUUAAAGUAGGUGUUUUCCUGAAGAGUUUACAGAUUGAUAUGGCAGGAACUCACUGGAAGGUUUUGGGAGAACAGCAGCUUGAUUGGAAACCGUUUAUAAAGCUGAAGGUCGGACUCUGCCAACAAGUGCUAAACAUUUGAAGUGUACCUGACAGGGGAACGAGCUGCUUCGCUGAUGUUACCACAAGGAAGUCCAAAAUAGCUGUUAGGAGACAAGAGGUUCGGAGCGCAGCUUUCAAACAGGGCACCGGGCAGAUCUUUCAGUUUCCAACCUGAAGAACAGGUUCUGCGGAUGCAAGAGGAACGAAACGUCUGCUCGGCAUUGUUACCACCCUCCGAUUCCCUUUGCCUCCUCCCACUUUGAACUUGUUACCCUGGAGCUGAACUGUUUGAACAGGGGCUGUAAAGCUGCUUUGUGAUCAGAGAGCUCCGAGCCCUCAACAUGUGAAAGCGGGGCGGGAUUUCGCUCCAGACGCCGCAGGUCCCUCCCUCCCUCCUCCCGGUUUUGUCCCGGGUAUGAAGGUUGGACGCUCCGCGCACAGAAGCCGGGACAGCCCGUCUGCACUGCCCGGCCGGGAGAGACAAAGGUGUGUGCGGCAUUGGUUUUCUGCUUUCUGUUGUUGCGAUCACUGUGGUGUGCUUUUAACACUUUUGCUCACACUUGGGUGUUAGAAACAAAGUUUAUAAUAUCCUACCCCACAGCCUUAUAGCUGUAACAGAAUCUGCUGCUACUGUUGCUCUUGUCUUUUUGAAGGAAGAGGGAAAAUGGAAAGAGUAUCAUGUCUAAUGCUUGUUUUAUUUUAUCAUGCUUUCUCUUGUUCAUGAAAAUGUUCAGGAACCUUGGAAUUCUGUUAGUCCUAAAUUUUUAGAUUCUCAGAGCUUGUAGGGAUGAAGCAAACUACAUUUGUGAUUCAAGUUUAGACUUUUCUAACUGGACAACUGCUUUUUUUUUUUAAUGAAAGACUACUGCAUUCAUUCUGAACUGAUAACCUGAGCCUUGAGCUUUCCCAGGUGUACGGAGCCAAAAUGAAAACUGACUUGGGUAAGAGAGGUUGGAUGUAAAAUAAACUUCAGGUAUUUAAAUAAAAUACCAGUUUAGCAAUAGAACAUGGCUGAUUCUAUGACUGAACAGCCAAGUCUUAACUUGGGAAGAAAGACAUGCACAACACUUUGAAAAGGUAUGCAUGUUUGGUUGUUUUUUUUU
Vidua macroura (Pin-tailed whydah) is the source of this 2205-nucleotide long non-coding RNA. RefSeq lists it as uncharacterized. The record is from RefSeq and is a predicted model, not a curated record. The transcript is spliced from 4 exons. NCBI's taxonomy places the organism in Eukaryota, Metazoa, Chordata, Aves, Passeriformes, Viduidae.